CCUACGGGUGGCAGCAGUAGGGAAUUUUCGUCAAUGGGCGCAAGCCUGAACGAGCAAUGCCGCGUGAACGAGGACGGUCUUCGGAUCGUAAAGUUCUGUUGAAGGGGAAAAAGAGCGGACAGGGGAAAUGGUCUCCGAUUGAUAUUACCCUUCGAGGAAGUCACGGCUAACUACGUGCCAGCAGCCUCGGUAAUACGUAGGUGGCGAGCGUUAUCCGGAUUGAUUGGGCGUAAGGGGUGCGUAGGCGGCCUGCUAAGUCUGGAGUGAAAGGUACGGGCUCAACCGGUACAGGCCCUGGAAACUGGUGGGCUAGAGGGAGGGAGAGGGCGGUGGAACGCGAGGUGUAGCGGAAAAAGGCGUAGAUAUAAGGAAGAAAACCAGUGGCGAAGGCGGCCGCCUGGCGUGUUACUGACGCUGAGGCACGAAAGCGUGGGGAGCAAAUAGGAUUAGAUACCCUAGUAGUC
RNAcentral lists this ribosomal RNA (464 nucleotides) under uncultured bacterium. RNAcentral describes it as "partial 16S ribosomal RNA". It matches the Rfam family "Bacterial small subunit ribosomal RNA", at positions 338 to 795 of the family's 1533-position model. The record is from RNAcentral.